AUACGGAGGGUGCAAGCGUUAAUCGGAAUUACUGGGCGUAGAGCGUACGUAGGCGGUUAUUUAAGUCAGAUGUGAAAGCCCCGGGCUUAACUUGGGAACUGCAUUUGAAACUGGGUAACUAGAGUUUAGUAGAGGGGAGUGGAAUUUCAGGUGUAGCGGUGAAAUGCGUAGAGAUCUGAAGGAACACCAGUGGCGAAGGCGACUCCCUGGACUAAAACUGACGCUGAGGUACGAAAGCGUGGGUAGCAAACAGGAUUAGAAACCCGGGUAGUCC
This 274-nucleotide ribosomal RNA is filed under the name uncultured bacterium. RNAcentral's name for it is "partial 16S ribosomal RNA". It matches the Rfam family "Bacterial small subunit ribosomal RNA", at positions 523 to 796 of the family's 1533-position model. The record is from RNAcentral.